UUCGAGACUAGAGUCACUCCGCA
Molecule: microRNA, 23 nt
Filed under: Haemonchus contortus (barber pole worm)
Lineage: Eukaryota; Metazoa; Nematoda; Chromadorea; Rhabditida; Trichostrongylidae
Description: hco-miR-5978
Source: miRBase by way of RNAcentral